CGGGGCGUAGCUAUAACACAAAGCAUUCAGCUUACACCUGAAAGAUACCUACCAUUCCCUAGGUCGCCCUGA
RNAcentral lists this transfer RNA (72 nucleotides) under Parabuteo leucorrhous (white-rumped hawk). RNAcentral describes it as "Buteo leucorrhous (white-rumped hawk) tRNA-Val". Lineage: Eukaryota; Metazoa; Chordata; Aves; Accipitriformes; Accipitridae. The record is from RNAcentral.